This 622-nucleotide long non-coding RNA is filed under the name Homo sapiens (human). RNAcentral's name for it is "HSALNT0039597". Lineage: Eukaryota; Metazoa; Chordata; Mammalia; Primates; Hominidae. The record is from RNAcentral.
AAGAACUAUUUCAAAAUGAGGAUUCCCCUGUAUCACUGGUGGUUUUAAAAACAUCGUUGCUGCAUAUGGAAUAUCAUUCCAUUAUAUGGAUGCAGGAAACCACUAACUGCACGGUCCAGCAUUGCUCAGGAGCAUCACUGAGCUGUCCAAUACCAUGGACCCCACGAACACCUUUACAUUCCAAAUGCAGGCGUAUCAACAGCCAUCAACAUUGUUGACUGUAAUUAGGGUUAUGACUGACCGAGAACUGUUGAGAAUUAGGUUUGCGCUUCCGGACUAGUUUUCACCUGAAAGCCUUGGAGCUACAGGCAUUUUGUUCAGGGAUGUACACAGAGUCUAGUCCAAAGCGGAGAUCCUCUACCUCCAGGCACGGCUCACCUGACACUGCUGGUCUGAGUAUCAAGGCUUUGUAGCAUCUUCCCCGGGGCCCUGUCUCUUCCCAUAGGCAGCACAUGUAUGGGGAGUCAAUUUGUUUUUGCAAUUAAGGAUAAGUGGGAAAAAGACCUCCUAGCUUAAUAAGGUGGAAUCUUGGAUAACGGAUGAAGAUUGUGCUAACUGGACGUGGCAACAUCCAUAUAAAAAGCAAGACAGUCAGUCAGCUAGAGAAUCAACCUCUUGUCUG